RNAcentral lists this ribosomal RNA (665 nucleotides) under Campylobacter jejuni. RNAcentral's name for it is "partial 23S ribosomal RNA". It matches the Rfam family "Bacterial large subunit ribosomal RNA", at positions 1074 to 1737 of the family's 2925-position model. The record is from RNAcentral. Lineage: Bacteria; Pseudomonadati; Campylobacterota; Epsilonproteobacteria; Campylobacterales; Campylobacteraceae.
UGUGAAGUUACUUAAACAACCAGGAGGUUGGCUUAGAAGCAGCCAUCCUUUAAAGAAAGCGUAAUAGCUCACUGGUCUAGUGAUUUUGCGCGGAAAAUAUAACGGGGCUAAAGUAAGUACCGAAGCUGUAGACUUAGUUUACUAAGUGGUAGGAGAGCGUUCUAUUUGCGUCGAAGGUAUACCGGUAAGGAGUGCUGGAGCGAAUAGAAGUGAGCAUGCAGGCAUGAGUAGCGAUAAUUAAUGUGAGAAUCAUUAACGCCGUAAACCCAAGGUUUCCUACGCGAUGCUCGUCAUCGUAGGGUUAGUCGGGUCCUAAGUCGAGUCCGAAAGGGGUAGACGAUGGCAAAUUGGUUAAUAUUCCAAUACCAACAUUAGUGUGCGAUGGAAGGACGCUUAGGGCUAAGGGGGCUAGCGGAUGGAAGUGCUAGUCUAAGGUCGUAGGAGGUUAUACAGGCAAAUCCGUAUAACAAUACUCCGAGAACUGAAAGGCUUUUUGAAGUCUUCGGAUGGAUAGAAGAACCCCUGAUGCCGUCGAGCCAAGAAAAGUUUCUAAGUUUAGCUAAUGUUGCCCGUACCGUAAACCGACACAGGUGGGUGGGAUGAGUAUUCUAAGGCGCGUGGAAGAACUCUCUUUAAGGAACUCUGCAAAAUAGCACCGUAUCUUC